Molecule: long non-coding RNA, 536 nt
Filed under: Dasypus novemcinctus (nine-banded armadillo)
Lineage: Eukaryota; Metazoa; Chordata; Mammalia; Cingulata; Dasypodidae
Description: lncRNA (ENSDNOG00000052784.1)
Source: RNAcentral
CACGGUAGUUUCCGGUCUGGGGGGUGAACUCCUGGAGUUCCGGCGGACCUUGAGCAGCGUUGUUCCGGAAGGGCGGGGGUCGCAUCCGCUCGCCUGCGAUCCGCGUGGCAUUACGCGGAGGGUCCGGCGCUAGACGCCAGCGGUCUCAGGAGGAGGCCCCCAGCGGGUUUCAGUGCCGGUGGAGUCUCGCGGCGUCGGCGGGUUCCCAACCGCCGAGGAUUCCGGACACUUCUCUAAGCAAAGAUAAGGUGGCUGCAGAGAGAACGAGAAGCAGCUUGGCUGUUCUCUAAGACAGGAACCUGGAAAGAGGACUGUGUUGGCUAUUGGAAAUUGCAAAGUCAUGUACCAGGUGAGUCGGUUCCCAAAUCUUCCUGAAACCCUUUUUUUUGUAUCCAGACUCUGUGGAGUCUGUGCUUUGCUUCUCCAGAGAGUUCCCACCUAAAAAGGGAAUUUACAGACUGGAUCUACAAUUGCUUUUAUGACAACAGUGGGUGGGGGCCACAGGAGAGUUCCAAGUGCUGUCCUACUCUCUGAGU